RNAcentral lists this small RNA (249 nucleotides) under Histoplasma capsulatum. RNAcentral describes it as "hypothetical RNA". Lineage: Eukaryota; Fungi; Ascomycota; Eurotiomycetes; Onygenales; Ajellomycetaceae. The record is from RNAcentral. RNAcentral also lists the same sequence under 1 other name.
AUCUACUCCAUCCACCCUCUCACCAUGCAACAGGCACGAAAGCGUCGCAUUCAAGCCUGUUACCCCUGUUACACGCGAAAGCAAAAAUGUAACCGCCAGUAUCCAUGUAACCACUGUAGCCGCCGCCGGCGGGCAGAAGGGUGCAUCUAUAGUGGUGGGACAGCACCUGGACGGGAGGCUCAAGUCCAGAAACUGCCCAAGGGUGCAAGCCACUCGAAGAAUAUGCCAACACGACAUGAGCAUGAGCAU